RNAcentral lists this ribosomal RNA (367 nucleotides) under uncultured bacterium. RNAcentral's name for it is "bacterial SSU rRNA". It matches the Rfam family "Bacterial small subunit ribosomal RNA", at positions 29 to 412 of the family's 1533-position model. The record is from RNAcentral.
AAUGAACGUUGGCGGCGUGGAUUAGGCAUGCGAGUCGUGCGAGAACCGUAGCAAUACGGGGACAGCGGCGAAAGGGAGAGGAACACGUGGAUACCUACCCUCAGGUUCAGGAUAGCUAUGGGAAACUAUAGGUAAUACUGAAUAAUAUCUCCGGAUCAAAGGUGUGAUUCCGCCGGAGGAGGGGUCCGCGUCCUAUUAGCUAGUUGGUGAGGUAAUGGCUCACCAAGGCGAAGAUGGGUACGGGAUGUGAGAACAUGAUCCCGCUCAUUGGGACUGAGACACUGCCCAGACACCUACGGGUGGCUGCAGUCGAGAAUCUUCGGCAAUGGGGGAAACCCUGACCGAGCGACGCCGCGUGUGAGAUGAA